RNAcentral lists this ribosomal RNA (664 nucleotides) under Bacillus subtilis. RNAcentral's name for it is "bacterial SSU rRNA". It matches the Rfam family "Bacterial small subunit ribosomal RNA", at positions 56 to 702 of the family's 1533-position model. Lineage: Bacteria; Bacillati; Bacillota; Bacilli; Caryophanales; Bacillaceae. The record is from RNAcentral.
UGCAAGUCGAGCGGACAGAUGGGAGCUUGCUCCCUGAUGUUAGCGGCGGACGGGUGAGUAACACGUGGGUAACCUGCCUGUAAGACUGGGAUAACUCCGGGAAACCGGGGCUAAUACCGGAUGGUUGUUUGAACCGCAUGGUUCAAACAUAAAAGGUGGCUUCGGCUACCACUUACAGAUGGACCCGCGGCGCAUUAGCUAGUUGGUGAGGUAACGGCUCACCAAGGCAACGAUGCGUAGCCGACCUGAGAGGGUGAUCGGCCACACUGGGACUGAGACACGGCCCAGACUCCUACGGGAGGCAGCAGUAGGGAAUCUUCCGCAAUGGACGAAAGUCUGACGGAGCAACGCCGCGUGAGUGAUGAAGGUUUUCGGAUCGUAAAGCUCUGUUGUUAGGGAAGAACAAGUACCGUUCGAAUAGGGCGGUACCUUGACGGUACCUAACCAGAAAGCCACGGCUAACUACGUGCCAGCAGCCGCGGUAAUACGUAGGUGGCAAGCGUUGUCCGGAAUUAUUGGGCGUAAAGGGCUCGCAGGCGGUUUCUUAAGUCUGAUGUGAAAGCCCCCGGCUCAUCCGGGGAGGGUCAUUGGAAACUGGGGAACUUGAGUGCAGAAGAGGAGAGUGGAAUUCCACGUGUAGCGGUGAAAUGCGUAGAGAUGUGGA